GGGCCGUUAGCAUAGUGGUAGUGUAGUCGCUUCGCAUGCGACAGACGGGAGUUCGAUUCUCCCACGGUCCACCU
Molecule: transfer RNA, 74 nt
Filed under: Candidatus Woesebacteria bacterium RBG_13_36_22
Lineage: Bacteria; Candidatus Woeseibacteriota
Also listed under: 2 other names
Description: tRNA-Ala
Rfam family: tRNA
About the family: Transfer RNA (tRNA) molecules are approximately 80 nucleotides in length. Their secondary structure includes four short double-helical elements and three loops (D, anti-codon, and T loops).
Source: RNAcentral